AGCUGAGUGGGUGGGGUGGCCUGCAUGGCUGAGUUGAGGGUGGGAGGCCUCAGGUGCCUGACUGCACUUCUGUGACUAUGUUUGGCCAUUUAACAAUGACUCCUCCACUAAAACUGAAAAAUAAAACUAAAAGCAGUGGGGCACAAUGGCAUAACUGUGACGGUGGCACUUAGAGGCUGAAGCAGACCUGGGUGUUGUGGCACAUGCCUUUAAUCCCAGCACUUGGAAGCUGAGGCAGGAGGAUUGAGAUUUGAGGCCAAACUGGACCACAGAGAAAACUGUCUCAAAAGCUGUUUCUAAUAAACUGUCCAGCAAGACCGGGGUGUGUGUCUGUCAGGCUUCCCAGGCAGGCUCCCACAUUGCUCCCACUUCCUUUUAGAGCCAGGCACAUGUUGGGUCAGUUUUGAAUAGAAUCUACAAGAGUUAACACCAAUACAGAGGCCAGAAACGGUCAUCAGGAGCUGUGUGUGGAGGAAGUGGGGGAGACUGGCUGAAGGUCACAAGAUCUUAGCCUUGUAAGGUAAGUUCUCCAUUUCAGAUUGGUGACUGGUGAUGACAGGUAACAGACCCGACCUAGAGGUCUGACAUUCUCAGAAAGGAGGUUCUGGAAGUCGAUGAACAUGUCAACUGUGCUACAGUAGAGGCCACUUCAAAUGAUUCACACCAGAUCUUCAAGGUACUACACCAUGAAACUAAGACUUUCAAAGGAUGUAUUGUUAAUUCCUAGCCCUAGAUGGAUUUCAAAAGGGUUACCAAGAUAAAACUCCAGGGACCCUAUACUAAAGCUUAAGCCUCUGGAAUUGGUCUAGUGGCCUCAGAACAUCCCUGGGUGUUCAGUUCCUGUUGAGUCCUGAACCUGCACCUCAGAGCUGGAUCUUCCCCUCAGGGCUCAGAAACCACACUUGCUCCACAUCCAUCGAAACAGAGGCUGAUAACAAGAGAAACCACGCAGGGAGAUGUGAAUUAGCCCCAUCUGUCAGACUGCCGUCAUGGGGAGGAGGAGGAGGGCUCUGUGGCUGCAGCACCACCUAGUGGCCACUGCUAAGAUCACCACCUAGCAACUCUCCAGACUCCAAAGAAGGGCCAUCUAUCCCUUUUACCUACCAACCCCUCUUUGAGACUUGUCCCAAGAACUCAGUACCUGCCUUUGCUCUGAGCACUCCACCAUUUUUCUCUUGUCCUCAAGAGUAGGACCUGGGCUGUGCCGCAUUUGGGGAAAGUAAACUAGCACAGAAGGACAUCAGGCUGGUCAGUCCCAGCAUGGAUAGGGGUCUGGGUGUAGGAAAUGCGCUGUUGAAGGUCUGUCCUGAGCACUGCAGCGUGUUUAGCCUCCCUCUACUUGGAUGGACUGUGACAACUAAGAGUUGCUCCAGACCACUGAGCUAUUCUUCUGUGCUGAAACCUUCUUUGUACUCUGUCUGGACUUGCUGGGUUGGCUACUUUGGGUCCACGACUCAAACUUUCCUGGAGUUAUAAUGAGAGUCUCGGUAGCCCUUGACUCCCAGAUGAACACAAAGGGCUUACUGAGGGUUGAACUGAGUCAAACUCUUGCUCAUUGGCCAACAAAACUGAAGGAGAGGGGUGGGGCUAAGACCUCUCUGGCCUCCUCCAUUGUUCUCAGAAGUGCUGGCCUGUGUGCUACUCAGCCGUUAGAUCCUUAAAAUGGAUCCAGGCAGAGGGAAUGCUCCCUCCCCCGCUGAGUCAAUGCAUAGGAAACCCUCCUGCAGUCCUUCAUAGACUCUACCCUCUACCCACACUACCCUCAACGCACUCAACAGCUGCACAUGUUGUUUCCAGUGUGACUGCAUGUGAUGACAGGCCUUUCAGGAGUAGUUAAGGUUAAAUGAGCUUGCAGGGUCAGGGUCUAGCCCUGACAGAGAGACCAGAGGUUGAGCUCUAUGACUUCACUCUCUCAUAGGCAGGGCUAGGCACCAUGAGAGUGUGGCUACAGUCUAAUGUGCCCCAGUUUUGUGUGUUAUAGCCUCUGUUCCUGUAACGAGGCCAUGUGAGGAGGUAUGGCUUAAGUAGUGGUAUUUAGGUGAUUGAGUGACACUGUCAUGAGUGGGCUAAUGUCUUCUUCACUGAAUUUUUUUCUCUCCUGGCUCUCCACUAGUUAGUUACCUUAAGAGCAAGUUACUAUGGGCUGGCAAGAUGGCUCAGAAAAUAAAGGUUCUUGCCACCAAGCCUGAGACCCACAGGCCAGAAGGAGAACUGACUCCCACGGUUACCACUCACUUCCACAUGUACUCCGCAGUAUGAGCAUGCGUGCACACACUCAUGUGAGGUGCGUUUAUGCAUGCAAAUAAGUAAAUGCAGUAAAACUUUUAAAGAGAAUUGAAGCUUCGCAAUGGAGAUUACCCGCACUGCAAACCUCCUCCGGGUUAUCAUGUGCUUAAUGAGCAAAUAUAUGGUCUUUUACAGACUGUUUGGCUGUGAGUUGAAGCUCACAAGGCUCUCACAAUGUGUGGAUACCUAAUUUUGAACUUCUUGGCCUUCAAAAUUCUUAAGCCAAACUAAUGCUCAUUUCUUUAAUGACCUAGGUUUUCACAGUUGGAGUUGGUGGUUAAGAGCACCAGCUGCUCUUCUAGAGGACCUAGAUUUGAUUUCCAGAACCCACAUUGUGGCUCAUAACCACCUUUAACUCCAUUUCCAGGGUAUCCAAUACCCUCUUCUGGCCUCAGUAGGCAUCAGCCACUCACAUAGCAUAGACUUAUGUGCAGGCAAAACACCUACACACAUAAGAAAUAAAAAAAUAUUUUUUUCUUUUCUUUUUUUCGGAGCUGGGGACCUUGCGCUUGCUAGGCAAGCGCUCUACCACUGAGCUAAAUCCCCAACCCCCCAAAAAUAUUUUUAAUUACUUAGUCUCAGAGAAUGUGUUACAGUAACAGAAAACAGACUCAGAAAGCAGCUGUCUACAAACUAAGAAGAAAUCUCCACCAGAAACCAGCCCUGCCCUCAGCUUCAAACUGGAUAUCCAUCUUCCAGAAUAGUGGGCAAACACUUCUAUUGUCUGAGGCGCUAAGCCUACUGGGGUAAAGCCUGAGCAGAAUAAAAUGGGUGGGAAGCCACCUGACCCUGGGCAGUACACAGGCAAAUGGCAAACAGUGUCCUUACAGAGUGAUGUCUCGUGGCUGAUGUUCUCAAAGAGAAUGUUCAGGGUCUGUAGCAGCUGGACACACACAUAACGGCCUGAUUUCUGCCGCAGAAUGUUCAAGAAGAAAACAAACAUGUUCUUCUCCAAGAAGAAGCUGGGAAAAGAACAGAAAAGGGUUAGUGGGUGACACACUCACAGCUCCUAGGAGUGGGCUCACCUAUGAAGACCUAUGAAGACCACCUGUGGCAAGACUAAACUCUGACACCUGCCUGGGCAGUCUCCGUGCCCAUGAGGACAACACACGCCUUCUGGGUCUUUCUCCUCCUGUUUCAGCAGAGCAGGUUAUAAAAAGCAGUGGCUCUCCUGCAUCAUGAACACACCCAAAACCACUGGUGGCCAAUGAAGGAAGCUGUCAAACAUCUGUGCCCGAAUCUUGCUGCUGGGCUGACUUAGUGUGAAGCUCUCAAGGUAGAUGUUCGCAUCUGUGUGUGUGUGUGUGUGUGUGUGUGUGUGUGUGUGUGUGUGUCAGGAGUGUGGAAGUCGGAGGAAGGCUUUGGACAUUCGUUCUCACCUUCUACCCUUUUUGAGAUAGGUGUCAUUGUUGCUGCAUACACAAGCCGCCUGACCCGUCUCCCACCUUUCAGGGAUUUUUUGCCUCCCAUCUCACCAUCCAAGCACUGGGAUUAAAAAGUUGUGUUGCCAUACAUAGCUUUUAUAUAGGUUCUGGGGACUCACACUUGGGUGUGAGAGGCUCCCUCAGUCCACCAGUUACACACGGGGACACCAAUGGUGCUCCCAUGUGUGCCCAGGGGCACAUCUGAUAGACUGUCCUCUCAAACCUCAGCAGACACACUAGGGGCUAGGGAGAUGACUCAGUGGAUAAAGUGCUAGCCUCAGAAGCAUGAGUUCAGAUGCCCAGAAUCCAUAUAAAAGUGGGGUGCAUAUGCAGUCUGCCUAUAGUGCAAGCUCUCAGGAAGCAGAGACAGGGAUCCUGAGCACAAGAUGGCCAGUUAGUCUAGGUCACUGGUUCUCAACCUUCCUAACACUAUGAUCCUUUAAUACAGUUCCUCAUGUUGUGAUGACUCCUGAUCACAUAAUUAUUCUGUUGAUACUUCAUAACUGUAAUUUCGCUACUGUUAUGAACCAUAUGUAAACAGCUGUGUUUCCCCAUGGUCUUAGGCAAUCCCUGUGAAAGGGCCAUAACAAGGGUUGAGAACCGCUGGUCAGAUUGAAUGAACAAGCCCUGGGUCCAACAAGAGACCUUAACUCUAGUAAAAAAAAAAAGUGGAGAGUUGUGGAAGAAGAUACCUGACAUCAACCUUUGAUCCCCAUGAACAUGCACAUGUGUGCACACAUGCAUACAUAUCCACCUAAAUAUAUGCCCACAUAUGUUCCAACAUGCAUAGGCACCACAUAUACACAUAUGCAAAGCAAUAAAUAAACUAAACACACUAAAUGCUGGCCUUCAGCAACUCCCUCAGAGCAAGGCCUGUUCAUUUAGGACCUAACUAUUUGGGACACUCUUCUCGCCCUGGAGUAGAUGAUGGGGCACAAGUUGGAAUGUUAUGGACAACAUCUUCAGCUUUUCUAGAGAAACUCAUUUCCACAGCUCUUCCCUUUUUGGCUUGCAUCUCUACAUUCUCUCAAGGACGCUUGAUAGAGAUAUUCAGGCAAGAUGGAAUUAGUAUCAGUUCCUGACGUCAUCAGGAAUGACUCAUGGUGUACACUUGGAACGGCACCAAAAGGAAGUGCAAGGACCAGGACACAAAAGCGCUGUAAGCCAUACUCAAACACAGAGCUGUCAUUUUGAUCGCCCCAAAUCAGGAUCUCAGUGAUGGAACGGAUGGUCUCCACAAGCAGGUUCCGGUUCUGUUCUGUGACAGUGGUGUUUUUGGUUAAAACAUGGUACAGGUACCUAGAAAAAAGGGGAGAAACAAGAGCUUACACAAACUGACGUGAAAGUGAGGCCCAAGGGUCACUGGCAAUACAGCACAGCAGUGGUUAAGUUUAUGUUAGCACAGUUUCCCAUUCAAAUGGAGAGAGAGGUCACUCCCAGCCCCCAGCCCAAUGGCAGAAGGAGCUCUCUGAAGCACUGAAUGCCAGGGACACAUCCGCCCAAACUGAGGCAAGAGCACUGCCAAGCCCCUGAAACCAGCACCCCAAAACUUCAGGAUGCAAACAAAUUACAGAGCUGGCAAAAUCAGAGGCUGCUGAAAUACACAUGGGGACUCUAACUCAGUGAGGCUAAAGGAAGACAAGCGUGGCCUGUCUUAGCUGCAGUGAUGGAUGUCAAGAAACAGUAGUCGGUGCCAGGUAGACUCAUAGCAAAGCUGGUGAUGGGGUCAGAGCUCAGGGUCACAUCUUCCUAAGUCAGAGCCUAGGACACUAAACACAGCUUUCAGAAUGUCUACAGUUCUCACUAGAGCAGCACACCAUGGAAACCAGGACUCAAGGUGGGACGUGAUGAGUGACUCCUUCCCAAAGGAAAUGUCUCAUCUGCAGAAUCUAGAGUGAAAUGGCUGAGGAGGCUAAAGUCCAGGAGACUUUACCUGUCUGGGCCACAGACUUAAUUAGGAAGGAAAAGCUGGGUCAAAAAGAGGUGGCUCAAAAAAAAAAAAAAAAAAAGAGGUGGCUCAAGAUACCUGUCAGAGGCUGGGAGAGCAAGAGUGGAGGGACUAUUCCCUACAGUCCAGAAGAGCAGGGAACAAAGAGGCAGAGCCUUGGAGGGGGAAUAAUUAGACUUAGGUGCUCCCAGCUAUGUCUAUAUUUUAGAGACAGGCCCAAAUUGUUUAGUGUUCUAUGCUGUUCUUGCUGUGCUGUCUGACAUGAUAGAUAAGGCUCGGCCACCAAGCUACAACCUCACCUCCCACUUUUUUUUUAUUUCUUUUUCUUUCUUUAUUUUUUUCAAUGUUACAAGACAAUAUUUUAAUAUUUGGUAAGUCAUGGAUUACAAAGAAUAAAAUAACAUUAUAGAUUAGUCUAUCAUCAUUUUACAGGAAGAUAUUUUUACUUUCCCUGUAACAAGCCUCUAUUAUAAUGAUGUUUAAUCAACAAAGGGUAGCUUGACUCUUUUAUUUAUUUAUUUUUAUUUAAUUUACAUCCUCAUCUGUCCCUCCCCCCAUCCCCUGUCCCCUCUGGGUAUCCCCAAACCCUGGCACAUCAAGUCUCUGAGGGGCUAGGUGCUUCUUCUCCCACAAAGGCCAGACAAGACAGCCACGAGAAGAGAACAGAUUCUACAGACAGGCAACAGCUUAGUGACAGCUCCUGCUCCAGUUGUUCUGGGCCUACAUGAAGACCAAGCUGCACAUCUGCUACAUGUGUGCAGGGGUCUAGGUCCAGUCCCCAAAUGUUCUUUGGUUGGUGGCUCAGUGUUUGAGAGCCCCGCCCCCUCCCCAGGAAUCCAGGUUAGUUGACUCUACUGGUCUUCCAGUGGAGUGCCUAUCCUCUUCGGGGCCUUCAAUCCUUCCUCUAAGCUCCAUCCAAUAUUCACCUUCCAUUUUUCAUUAUUAUAUUUUACUUCGAGACAGGGUGUCAGUAAUUUGACCCAACUGGCUUUGAACCAGCUCUGUAGCCAGGGAAACCUAGAACUUGUGAUCUGCUCACCUUGGCAGUCAUGUCCAGCCUAAAAUGCAACUGGUAACCUGCAACGAGGUAAAGGUCUUCCCACAAUGCUGCACGUGAGGACACAAGGCCUACUUUCCUCUACAAUUAAGUAACUUAUCAUCUGAACCACCCUGGAACAAAUUGUAGGGACCUCAUUACAAAGCUAUGUGUCCACUGUGAUUCUAGUGCCUACCCUACAAGAAACCCAAGGAACACUUUCCUAAACCGUGCUUCACAGCCUCCUGCACCUGCUUUACCUGUUUAAGUUGCUCCCUAUGCAGCUCCCAUGCAACCCCACUGAAUUAGGCUACUGGGUGAAUGGGUUAAAAUGGUGUGCAUGUACAUAUGUGUGCAUUAUUGGGUGAGUGGGUUAAAAUGGUGUGCAAGUACAUAUGUGUGCAUUAUUGAGGAUCAAACCCAGGGCCCCUUACAUGCCACACUGCGCUUUACAACAGAGCUCUAGCUACAGCCCUCUCCCUUAAAAUCUGACAGCUGCACCUCUCCCAGUGUGCCCAUCAAUGGCCUUUCCACACAGUCCCUAGGAUAAUGGACACUGUCCCAGGGACAAGGUAAUGCUGACAGUGCAGGUAAGGGAGAGGCAGUCUUCCCACUCUGGAGAUAUGACACACGUGUGCAGGAGGACAGCAUACAUGCACUGACCUCACCCAUCACAUCUUGGCUCUCUGGGAAGCAGCAACAUGAGUGAGCUCAUCUACUCUGAGGGCCUCCAACUACAGUGGACAGGGUCUGACUUCAACUGAGGGGGCUGUCUAAACAACUGCCCUUGCUGCCUUAUCAGUCAGCAGCGGCUGCUCACAUUCAGGGCUCCGCCUCUCUCCACCCUUUCUUCGGAGAAGGCUUUUUCACUCCAAUCCUCCAAUUCCCAUAAGGACCUGGUUGUCCCCUUUUGGGAAGUAGCAAGGACUUCACAGAGCUCUGUGUUCUCCAUGGUCUGUCUGUCUCUCUGACUAGACUGGAACCUCCAGGUCAGGAAAAUCAUCUUAAUCCACUCCAAUCCACUCCACAAUAACUGGUACAUAGCAAGAGCUAUAUAAACGCGGAAUGAAGCAGAGGGCAGCCCCUACUAAUACGCACUGGAGUAUACUAUACAAGUAAGGGUUAAAGAAACAGCACAGAGCGAUGAUAAGAGCCCCGUCACAGCAGUGGUGGUGCAUACCUUUAGUCCCAGCACUUGGGAAGCAGAGGCAGGUAGAGUUCUGUCAGUUCUAGGACAUGGUCUACGUGGUAAGUUCCAGACCAGCCAGGGUUAUAUAAUGAGACCCUGUCCUAUCUAAGGAGGAGGAGGAGGAGCAAGGGGGAGGGGCCACUAAAGUGUUGUUAGGAUGGCUUCCUUCAUUAUGCAAUUGCUUUUAAAAGUCCUAUUAGAGAACUUUUCUCAUCUGGGCUAAUGUGCACCCCCAGUGAGCCAAUGACCACCUAGUAAAAAAUCCAAUUCCAGACAUGUGAAGCCCUCUUUUGAGUUGUUGGCCAGGACUGUUUAAGAGACACCCAAAACACAGCCUAUUGCUGUUUCCCCAGGUUACCCCCCAGAGCAGGAGGUAAGUUCCUGUGCUGAAGACACCAUGCACUUCAGAAACGGGUGCAAGCCCCCAGCUGGAACUGACCUGGGCACCCUCUCCCGGAGAACUAGCUUUCAUGGUAUCAGAAGGCAAAGGAGGAGGAAGGCAGCCGACAGUCCGCAUCAACAACCAGCACGCCAUGGUAACCCUGAGGGCACAGUCAGUCACAGUACACACCUUGGGGGUAGCCAACAGUUCUCCAAUUAGACUCAAAGGCUGCUCAACAAGAGGGAGGCCAUGCUUGGUUCUGGAAACCCAGCUAACUAGUCAGUGCUAGUGAAGUCAUGGAGAAUUUACAGCCACCAAUUUAUUUAUUAUUUUUUUUUUUGGUUCUUUUUUUCGGAGCUGGGGACCGAACCCAGGGCCUUGCGCUUCCUAGGUAAGCGCUCUACCACUGAGCUACAUCCCCAGCCCCCACCAAUUUAUUAAACCAGCAUUAUCCCUAUCAACAACCUAUAAACAUUUUUCCUUGUACCUACAGAUAAGUGUGCCCUCAUCAAGGAAAUGUCUCUUUACAACAGAGGAGACCACUACAGAAAUUCACAACCAAUCAAAACCUGCAGAGUCGUAAAGCCCAGUGCUAACAGACCAUCAACAAAACACUCCUACACCCAAGGCUCAGUGAACAUUGCAAAAGAUGGGGUGGGAAGAACAUAAGGGCCAAGAGGACCAGGGUGAUUGCUGUGAAACUCUGUCUCUUAGCAACAUCAGAAGCUACACCCAGAGUCUCACCAACAUGACUGCCCAAACACGUUCUGAACGAGGAUGGCACCAAUGUACCGGACGGAGAAAAGCCCAUGAGGCAACAGGAGAGGUGGUCUUCCUCCAGAGAAGAACACACUUUGGCAAUUAUCUACUGUCAAACAGCAUACAACAUACAUACAAGUAACAUUACACACACUGAACACAUUAUAUUUAGUAAUACACAUGCAUCUACAUAUAUCCAUAACAAUUAGUGAAAAGAGGCCAUGGAUUUGAAGGGAAGGAGGAUAUGGAAGGACUUGGCGGGAGGAAAGAGAAGGGAGAAAUGUUGUAAUUAAAGUAUAAUCUUAAAAGAAAGCAAAAAGAAAAAGAAAAACAUCCUAUUAGAAGGCUUUUUCAGAUAUGAAGAACAGGUUAGUUAGAAGAUCCUCAGAGCUCCCAUGAGCCUGGCACCAAGUGAAGGCUUGGUGACUCUCAGACUCACCCAACCACAGGAUGUGCCCAGUGUUAGCACUGCACAGGCCAAGGCAGCACAUGGGGCUUAGGUACACCCAGUCCUUGCCAGCCCCGUGGCUGGGAGGCACUCAGUCCAUGUGAGCUCAGUCUCUCCAGUACUAGUCCUAGGCCUUUUUUGGUGGUGUAGUUCUAUGGGCUUUCACGGUGUCCUAUGGGGGUUUUACCUCAGGAAAACCAAGGUUAGACGUUGUCUUCUCUCACUUGGUGAAGGAAAAUUUGCAUUUCCCCUUUAGGGCAGGGCCAAUUACAAGACUUUGUUCAAUUUAUUCUUGGUGACUUUUACUUAUUAAUAGCUUGUUUUCCCCAACUGUGGUACUGUGACCACAGAUUUGAGACUGACUUUACUAGAGCAACCAGGAAUGACAAAACAACAGAUGUAUGUACAGCAAAGCCAGGAUUAGGUUGCCAGGGCAUGCUGGAGCCCCAGCAGCAACCAGGCAUCAUAGAGCUGAAUGAGGAAGCAGGUUAGCUAAUCUUGGUAGAGGAUCUCUGUAGGGCAGCAGUCUCAGGCUACAAUUAUCAGGGAGCAGAGGGCUAUAGUAAGUGCUUCUUUCUGCACACGCUGUCAGCAUCUGAGCCUUGCUGUUUUCCUAAGCUUGACUCAGGGAACAACUUCCUUUUCCACUGGUUUGCGGCACCAGGGUCCUUGGCAUGACCAUGCUUAUGUGGGAAAUGCUCAUUCGUACAGGAUACACUUGAUCCCCAUACUGGCCUGUCUUUUCCUUAUCUUUAUAAUAGCCUUUAAAAUUGUUUUUAAUAAAGUGUGUGUGCGUGUGUGUGUGCGUGUGAGCACGCGUGUUAUGGGGGUUGGGGGACAAGCAUACAUAUAUCAUAGUGCACAUAAGGAGGUCAGAGGAUACCUUGCAAGGUCA
This is a non-coding RNA of Rattus norvegicus (Norway rat), 10367 nucleotides long. The record is from RefSeq and is a predicted model, not a curated record. NCBI's taxonomy places the organism in Eukaryota, Metazoa, Chordata, Mammalia, Rodentia, Muridae.